Molecule: ribosomal RNA, 238 nt
Filed under: uncultured Anaplasma sp.
Lineage: Bacteria; Pseudomonadati; Pseudomonadota; Alphaproteobacteria; Rickettsiales; Anaplasmataceae
Description: partial 16S ribosomal RNA
Rfam family: Bacterial small subunit ribosomal RNA
Source: RNAcentral
UACGGAGGGGGCAAGCGUUGUUCGGAAUUAUUGGGCGUAAAGGGCAUGUAGGCGGUUCGGUAAGUUAAAGGUGAAAUGCCAGGGCUUAACCCUGGAGCUGCUUUUAAUACUGCCAGACUCGAGUCCGGGAGAGGAUAGCGGAAUUCCUAGUGUAGAGGUGAAAUUCGUAGAUAUUAGGAGGAACACCAGUGGCGAAGGCGGCUAUCUGGUCCGGUACUGACGCUGAGGUGCGAAAGCG